GUGGGGAAUAUUGCGCAAUGGGCGAAAGCCUGACGCAGCGACGCCGCGUGAGGGAUGAAGGCCUUCGGGUUGUAAACCUCUUUCAGCAGGGACGAAGCGAAAGUGACUGUACCUGCAGAAGAAGCACCGGCUAACUACGUGCCAGCAGCCGCGGUAAUACGUAGGGUGCGAGCGUUGUCCGGAUUUAUUGGGCGUAAAGAGCUCGUAGGCGGCUCGUCACGUCGGAUGUGAAAACUCGGGGCUUAACUCCGAGCCUGCAUUCGAUACGGGCGAGCUAGAAUUCGGUAGGGGAGACUGGAAUUCCUGGUGUAGCGGUGAAAUGCGCAGAUAUCAGGAGGAACACCGAUGGCGAAGGCAGGUCUCUGGGCCGAUAUUGACGCUGAGGAGCGAAAGCGUGGGGAGCGAACAGGAUUAGAAACCCGAGUAGUCC
RNAcentral lists this ribosomal RNA (430 nucleotides) under uncultured bacterium. Its description in RNAcentral is "bacterial SSU rRNA". It matches the Rfam family "Bacterial small subunit ribosomal RNA", at positions 354 to 796 of the family's 1533-position model. The record is from RNAcentral.